Molecule: ribosomal RNA, 253 nt
Filed under: uncultured bacterium
Lineage: Bacteria
Description: partial 16S ribosomal RNA
Rfam family: Bacterial small subunit ribosomal RNA
Source: RNAcentral
GACGAAGGGGGCUAGCGUUGUUCGGAAUUACUGGGCGUAAAGCGAGUGUAGGUGGUUGUUCAAGUGGGAUGUGAAAGCCUUGAGCUCAACUCAAGAAAUGCAUUCAGGACUGAGCGACUAGAGGACCGGAGAGGAUAGUGGAAUUCCCAGUGUAGUGGUGAAAUACGUAGAGAUUGGGAAGAACACCAGUGGCGAAGGCGGCUAUCUGGACGGUUUCUGACACUAAGACUCGAAAGCGUGGGGAGCAAACAGG